This 740-nucleotide ribosomal RNA is filed under the name Theba grasseti. RNAcentral's name for it is "partial 16S ribosomal RNA". The record is from RNAcentral. Lineage: Eukaryota; Metazoa; Mollusca; Gastropoda; Stylommatophora; Helicidae.
UAUUGUUUUAGAUAUUAAGUAUUACGUGACAUAGUAGUUGGUAAAUAUAUUUUUAGGGGUGAUAGGCUUUUCAAAUUUGUUGAUAACUUGAUACGUAAUAAAAUUAUUAAGUAUUAGAUCAUACUAUGAAAGUUAAGUUUUAUAGUAGUAAUUAAUUUAGAAAAAUGGAUAUAUUAUAGUUUAAUAGCUAAUUAAUAGUAAUAUAAAUAUUUUUUUCUUUAUUUUUGUUUAAUGCAUUACGUUAUUUUUACUUAAGUAUAUAUUAAUAAUGUUAAUAUAAGUAAUAUUUAUAAAUAAAUUAAAGGAACUCGGCAAAAAUAUUUUUCAGCUGUUUAUCAAAAACAUAACUAUAUGGUAUUAUAUGUAGCUGUUCCUGCUCAAUGAUUUUUAAAUAGCCGCAGUACCCUGACUGUGCAAAGGUAGCAUAAUCAGUUGGCUUUUAAUUGAAGUCUAGAAUGAAUGGAUUUUUGGAAAAUAACUUUCUCUUUUUUAUUUUUUUGAAAUUAGUUUGUAAGUGAAAAUACUUACAUAUAUAUAAAGGACGAGAAGACCCUAGAAAUUUAAAUAUUAUUUUGUUGGGGCGACAGAAUUACAAAAAACUAAUUUGCUUAACGUGACGUUUUUACAGUUCGAUUAAAUUACUCUAGGGAUAACAGCAUAAUUUUCAUAGUUUGUGACCUCGAUGUUGGACUAGGAUAUUAAAUGGUUUAGAAGAUCUUUAAUAAGGCUCUGUUCGAGCU